CCUACGGGGGGCAGCAGUGGGGAAUCUUGCGCAAUGGGCGAAAGCCUGACGCAGCGACGCCGCGUGAGUGAUGAAGGCCUUCGGGUUGUAAAGCUCUGUGGAGAGGGACGAAUAAGCGUACGCGAACAGCGUACGUGAUGACGGUACCUUUUUAGCAAGCACCGGCUAACUCUGUGCCAGCAGCCGCGGUAAGACAGAGGGUGCAAACGUUGUUCGGAAUUACUGGGCGUAAAGCGCGUGUAGGCGGCUCGUAAAGUCGGGUGUGAAAGCCCUGGGCUCAACCCAGGAAGUGCACCCGAAACUCACGAGCUGGAGUUCUGGAGAGGAAAGCGGAAUUCUCGGUGUAGAGGUGAAAUUCGUAGAUAUCGAGGGGAACACCGGUGGCGAAGGCGGCUUUCUGGACAGCAACUGACGCUGAGACGCGAAAGCGUGGGUAGCAAACAGGAUUAGAUACCCUUGUAGUC
RNAcentral lists this ribosomal RNA (464 nucleotides) under uncultured bacterium. RNAcentral's name for it is "bacterial SSU rRNA". It matches the Rfam family "Bacterial small subunit ribosomal RNA", at positions 338 to 795 of the family's 1533-position model. The record is from RNAcentral.